This 481-nucleotide ribosomal RNA is filed under the name uncultured bacterium. RNAcentral's name for it is "partial 16S ribosomal RNA". It matches the Rfam family "Bacterial small subunit ribosomal RNA", at positions 28 to 507 of the family's 1533-position model. The record is from RNAcentral.
GGUGAACGCUGGCGGCGUGCUUAACACAUGCAAGUCGAACGAAGCAUUUGCGACAGAUUUUUUCGGAAUGAAGUUGCUUAUGACUGAGUGGCGGACGGGUGAGUAACGCGUGGGUAACCUGCCUUGUACUGGGGGAUAGCAGCUGGAAACGGCUGGUAAUACCGCAUAAGCGCACAAUGUUGCAUGACAUGGUGUGAAAAACUCCGGUGGUAUAAGAUGGACCCGCGUCUGAUUAGCUAGUUGGUGAGAUAACAGCCCACCAAGGCGACGAUCAGUAGCCGACCUGAGAGGGUGACCGGCCACAUUGGGACUGAGACACGGCCCAGACUCCUACGGGAGGCAGCAGUGGGGAAUAUUGCACAAUGGAGGAAACUCUGAUGCAGCGACGCCGCGUGAGUGAAGAAGUAAUUCGUUAUGUAAAGCUCUAUCAGCAGGGAAGAUAGUGACGGUACCUGACGAAGAAGCUCCGGCUAAAUACGUG